UUCUGUCUUCUCUCUUUUCUUCCCUUCACCAACAAUCAAUCAUUUCUUCUUCUUUUUUUUCUUUUACCAAUUUCAAUCCUCCGAAUCCCUAAUUUAUCGAAUCUAGGGCUUGUGUAAUCCGUUCGAACUCUAAAGGUGAAGAAACAAAAAUCCGAGGCCACACGGCUCGAUGAGGUUGUUCGAACAAUGUAGCGUUUGGGGGUGCUGCUAAUUCGCUCUCUCAGCUUUAUACCCACGCCAUGAACCACCAACGCGUCUCUUUCCUCGCCAGUGAACGUCGCGGCAUGGAGAAACUUUACCAAUGGGUUGUGAGACAAGAAGAACAAGGAACUAGAGUACCCACAAUUGAUAUUAUUACCUACUUGCAGGUUUUUUCCUUUGAAACAGUAUCUGGUUUGUGAGUAUACUUUGUACUCAAGCUUCAAGCUUGUGCUUACUUAAUUGGUCUUUAGAUUGAUUAUAUACCACCUCUCGUGAAUCUACCUUUGUUUGACUAGCUUCGAAUACUACACGUCCAAAGUUCUUGAAUUUGAUCUGAAAAGUUAUUCAUGU
Molecule: long non-coding RNA, 552 nt
Organism: Capsella rubella
Lineage: Eukaryota; Viridiplantae; Streptophyta; Magnoliopsida; Brassicales; Brassicaceae
Exons: 2
Source: RefSeq, a predicted model, not a curated record